This 74-nucleotide transfer RNA is filed under the name Candidatus Pacearchaeota archaeon ex4484_26. RNAcentral describes it as "tRNA-Pro". It matches the Rfam family "tRNA". From Rfam's summary of the family: Transfer RNA (tRNA) molecules are approximately 80 nucleotides in length. Their secondary structure includes four short double-helical elements and three loops (D, anti-codon, and T loops). Further hydrogen bonds mediate the characteristic L-shaped molecular structure. tRNAs have two regions of fundamental functional importance: the anti-codon, which is responsible for specific mRNA codon recognition, and the 3' end, to which the tRNAs corresponding amino acid is attached (by aminoacyl-tRNA synthetases). tRNAs cope with the degeneracy of the genetic code in two manners: having more than one tRNA (with a specific anti-codon) for a particular amino acid; and 'wobble' base-pairing, i.e. permitting non-standard base-pairing at the 3rd anti-codon position. The record is from RNAcentral. Lineage: Archaea; Nanobdellati.
GGGGCUGUGGUGUAGCUUGGUUAUCAUCCCAGCCUUGGGAGCUGGAGACCCCGGUUCAAAUCCGGGCAGCCCCA